UAACAUUACAAUUAUAUACUAUGUCUCUCAGUAAGGCAUUGUUACAUCGAAAAAUCUUGUUGAAGACUCUUCCAUUCCUUUCCAGCCAGAUAGCAUAUGCAAAUUCAGCUGUAACCAUUUUGAAGGUGGCUGCUCGACAUGUUUGACCCUUGGCUUUGCUAAUCAACCACUGCAUUUUCUGAUUCCAAUCAAUAGUGGGUGGUAAUGUUCUUGCAAAAAGUUCAUUGUUAUUACCCAUAAGUCUACAGUGACAGGGCAGGUCAUUAACAAAUGAUCUCUUGUUUCAGGGUGGAUUUGGCAUAAGGUGCAUUGCUGAUCAGUACUCAUUCUUCAAUUGUGUAGUCUAUCCUUUGUUGGUAGUCUGUCCUGUAGGAAUAGCCAUAGGUUGAAAAUUGCUUUUGGCCUUGCUUGGUUUGUAUGAUUAAAUUCUUCCAUGGGAUUCUCGGCACUUCUUGUAUCUGUGACUGGUACAAUUGUCUAGUCGAGCAUUUCUGAUCCUUCCAAUUCUGGAGUCUGUAGAAUAUCUCUUGAUUGGAUGAUCUUUUUAACCAUCCAACUUGCUUGAGCAGGAAUUGAAAUGGAUUCUAUUGGUCUGUCUUUGAUAUAAUAAACAGUUAUCCACCUAAUCCACAGCUAUUGUUGCCUUGAGCAAAAGUAAAUUGUUGAAUUAUCUUGCUGAUCUUUUUAAUCCUCUAUUUUUUUU
This 703-nucleotide long non-coding RNA is filed under the name Nicotiana benthamiana. Its description in RNAcentral is "long non-coding RNA (NBEN_LNC037626)". The record is from RNAcentral. Lineage: Eukaryota; Viridiplantae; Streptophyta; Magnoliopsida; Solanales; Solanaceae.